AGUUCGUGGAGUGAUCUGUUUACUUAAUUGUGUUUCCCAUCAUGGCACGUACUUACUUAUUUCAUUUUUACCGCUAUAUUAAUUUAUAUGUAAUCGAUUUAUUGUAUCACGUCGCCUAGGGAAUGCAACGAACGUGACUGUACUUACCUAUUACGCGUGGGAAGCCAUCCCACAGCUGAAUUUGAAAGACCGCUGCAUUUUCUCAAGGCAGAGGAAGGAUACAGCAAUAACAGG
Molecule: ribosomal RNA, 234 nt
Filed under: Foraminifera sp.
Lineage: Eukaryota; Foraminifera
Description: partial small subunit ribosomal RNA
Source: RNAcentral